Molecule: ribosomal RNA, 1023 nt
Filed under: Triticum aestivum (bread wheat)
Lineage: Eukaryota; Viridiplantae; Streptophyta; Magnoliopsida; Poales; Poaceae
Description: partial small subunit ribosomal RNA
Source: RNAcentral
AUGCUUAGGAAAAUGUUCCAAGGUGGUUCUUCAAGGAAGCAAGGACCCAGGCUUGCAAUGCGUGAUGCUGACGAUGAGCCACCAAGGGACGCUCCAGUGCGGCCUUGUGAAUGGCCUUCAGAGAACUUUAUGGAUCGAGCGGGAAUCAAGGAAGAAUUUAACGCAUAUUUGCGUAACGCUGAUCUUGUGAGCUUCGAGGCAGAGAAAUGCCGCCAGUACCACUAUCUCACUAGUACAUUUGUGAGGAGGUUUGAAUUUUCAUCUUCACGUAAUUCUCCAACUGUCCUGUUUGAUCUCUAUGAAAAAUCUUAUACUAUGGACUUAGAGGAUUUUACCGCUGCUUGCAAACUUCCACAAUGGGGUAGUGCUAGUGAACCUCGCAAAUCUGAAUUUAGAAAUUUUCUUGCUAGUAUAACUGUGGGGGAAUCUAGAGAUAUAGCACAAGCUACCAUAGGGAGCAUUCAUUUUCCCACUAUACAUUAUUUUGCUCUCUUCAUAGGUAGGUGCAUAAAUGGUAAAGAUGAAGCAUGUCACAUGUGUGUCCCUGAUCUCAGUAUUCUUAGGAGUGUUGUGUUAGGAGACAAAACUUAUAACUUGGGAGCCAUUGUUGCACGUAGGUUGCACCAUAAUAGAUUUAAUGGAGAUUUAUUUGGAGGAAUUUAUGCAACCCGCUUAGCUGAUUUUCUUGGUGUGUACAUUCGUGAGGAUGAUAUUGAGGUGCCUCCUACCUAUUUAGACUAUAAUGCUAUGGUCCACCACCAGUUUAUCGAGAGGAAUGAAUCACCUCUCCGGUAUCGCUUAAUCUUUGACAAACGUCAUGCUGUCUGUAUUACUCUCCCUGCUCCUGCCUUCUUUGAUUAUCAGGCAAAAGGAAAAUAUGUUAUUACCAGAGAGGAGGCAGAUGAGUACAAGAGGAGGGCGGAGGCAGCUCGCCGCCACGCUGCAGCUCAGGAGGCAAUAACUGCCGCAGCUCAGUACGACCCUGGCUACAACUACGGAUAUCCGCCAGGCCAUCCUUGGUAA